UACAGAGGGGGCAAGCGUUGUUCGGAAUUACUGGGCGUAAAGCGAGUGUAGGUGGUUGUCGUAGUCAGGCGUGAAAGCCUUGAGCUCAACUCAAGAAAUGCGCUUGAUACUGGGCAGCUAGAGGACCGGAGAGGAUAGUGGAAUUCCCAGUGUAGUGGUGAAAUACGUAGAGAUUGGGAAGAACACCAGUGGCGAAGGCGGCUAUCUGGACGGUUUCUGACACUAAGACUCGAAAGCGUGGGGAGCAAACAGG
This 253-nucleotide ribosomal RNA is filed under the name uncultured bacterium. RNAcentral describes it as "partial 16S ribosomal RNA". It matches the Rfam family "Bacterial small subunit ribosomal RNA", at positions 524 to 776 of the family's 1533-position model. The record is from RNAcentral.